RNAcentral lists this ribosomal RNA (1647 nucleotides) under Triticum aestivum (bread wheat). RNAcentral's name for it is "partial small subunit ribosomal RNA". The record is from RNAcentral. Lineage: Eukaryota; Viridiplantae; Streptophyta; Magnoliopsida; Poales; Poaceae.
AUGGGCUACUCGCUACUGGUGUGGCCGAUAGAAUGGUACGCCCCUACCGCCUCGUUCCGCACACCUCCCUCCUCCUCUCUCAUAAAAUCGGGAGACCUUUCCCUCCCUCCCUCCCUCCAUCGUCUCCUCUCGUCCUACUCACACUCCACCUCCCCUCUCUCCCUCCCUCCCUCGCCGCGCCGUGCUCCCUCCACUCCACUCCCAUCGCCCCAGGGCGCACACGGGAUCGCGCGCAGAUCUGUGCCCCCCAUCCCACGCGCUCGCCUCCCACUCCCCGCCUCCCCGCGGCGGCCUGCCUGGCUUAAUUUCGCCACCAAUGCGCUCUGGGUAGGGCAUGAGAGACACUGGCGGCGGCUUGCCGGCGGACCAAUUCACAUCCGGAUGGAGCUCAGCGUCGCCGCCGCAGCCGUGGAGCUCGGCAAGCGGGGCCGCCCCGAGGACCAGGACCACGACCAGGAGCAGGACCACGGGGAUGCCAAGCGGCUGGCGCUCGUGCCGUGGCCGCCGCACCAGCAGCACCCCUCCUCGCGGAUCUACCGCGUCUCGCGCGGCUCUGGCGGCAAGGACCGCCACAGCAAGGUCUACACGGCCAAGGGCAUCCGCGACCGCCGCGUCCGCCUCUCCGUCGCCACCGCCAUCCAGUUCUACGACCUGCAGGAUCGCCUUGGCUACGACCAGCCCAGCAAGGCCGUCGAGUGGCUCAUCAAGGCCGCCGCCGCCGCAAUCGACAAGCUCCCCGAGCUCGACGCCGCCGCCUUCCCCAACCACCCGGCCUCAGCCUCAGCCAACAAACAGUCUUCUGCUCUUCACGCGGAGGCCGACGGCUCGCAGCUCCAGCAGCAGCAGCUCACCAGAUCGGGCUGCAGCAGCACGUCCGAGACCAGCAAGGGCUCCGUCCUCUCGCUCUCUCGCUCCGACAGCCGCGUCAAGGCCAGGGAGCGCGCGCGCGACCGUAGCGCCUCUGUGAAGGACAAGGACGACUCGGUCACCGCCGCCGUGCGCCGCCGCGCCCCCUCGGCGCAGGCGGCUUCCUUCACCGAGCUGCUCACUGGAUUGGCGGCCGCCACCCCAGCUGUUGCUCAGCACAAGCAGCACAACUCGUGGCAGCAGAUGACCGCGUCUGCCACCGCGGACUACCUCGGCUUCUCCCAGCCAAGGAAAUCCGGGCACGGGAUGCUGCACACCUUCGCCUCCCCGGCCCCGCACCUGGGCAACAUUGUGCCCGUCGCCAUGGCCCCGGCGCAGCACUUCAGCUUAUCAGCCGGCGGCGGCGAUUCGCAGACGGACAUGCCGCACUUCUCCUUCUCGCAAGACCACUACAUGCCCGUCCAUGCGGCGCCAGCGUCGGCUCCGGCAGUAGACUACAGUCUCAACUUCUCCAUGUGCUCGGGUCUUGUGGGUGUCAACAACACUAGGGGGACCCUUCAGUCCAAUUCGCAGCCGCACCUCUCCGGCCACCACCACCACCAGCAGCAGCUCCAGAGGCUGUCUACUCCACUGGAUGCUCCGCACAUACCCUUCUUGUUCAGCCCAGCCGUCGCGGUGGCCUCCCCCACCACAGCGGAGAGCCACUUCGGCGCGGCGGCCGCAUUGCAGCUCUGGGAGGGGUUCCGGCACUCCGACAUGAAGGAGAAGGGCAAGAACUGA